This 195-nucleotide ribosomal RNA is filed under the name Triticum aestivum (bread wheat). Its description in RNAcentral is "partial small subunit ribosomal RNA". The record is from RNAcentral. Lineage: Eukaryota; Viridiplantae; Streptophyta; Magnoliopsida; Poales; Poaceae.
AUGGAGGGCCUCCUACAUUGGGACUUCUCACCCGGCCUUGCGGUCGCAGAUCAGGUGCGUAGACGGUUUGGAUCCUCUGUUCAUUUCCUCCCCGAUGGAUCUACCAAGGAAUUUUUCUUGGUUGUGUAUUUUUCGUCUGCCUCCUUCCCCUUAUCUGAAGAAUCUGUGGCCAUUGCCUUACAAUGUUGCAUCGGG